RNAcentral lists this ribosomal RNA (449 nucleotides) under uncultured bacterium. Its description in RNAcentral is "partial 16S ribosomal RNA". It matches the Rfam family "Bacterial small subunit ribosomal RNA", at positions 29 to 523 of the family's 1533-position model. The record is from RNAcentral.
AACGAACGCUGGCGGCAUGGCUAACACAUGCAAGUCGAACGAGACAUUCGGGUCUAGUGGCGCACGGGUGCGGAAGGCGUGGGAAUCUACACUCGGGUUCGGAAUAACAGUUAGAAAUGACUGCAAAUACCGGAUGAUGACGUAAGGCGAAAGAUUUAUCGCCCAAGGAUGAGCCAGCUUAAGAUGAGCUUGUUGGUGGGGUAAUGGCCGACCAAGGCGACGAUCUUUAGCUGGUCUGAGAGGAUGGUCAGCCACACUGGGACUGAGACACGGCCCAGACUCCUACGGGAGGCAGCAGUGGGGAAUAUUGGACAAUGGGCGAAAGCCUGAUACAGCAACGCCGCGUGAGUGAUGAAGGCCUUAGGGUUGUAAAGCUCUUUUACCAGGGAUGAUAAUGACAGUACCUGGAGAAUAAGCUCCGGCUAACUACGUGCCAGCCGCCGCCGUAA